This 62-nucleotide transfer RNA is filed under the name Paranurophorus simplex. RNAcentral's name for it is "tRNA-Gly". The record is from RNAcentral. Lineage: Eukaryota; Metazoa; Arthropoda; Collembola; Entomobryomorpha; Isotomidae.
AUAAUUAUAAUAUAAUAAGUAUAGUUGAUUUCCAAUCAAACAGUUCUAAACAGAUAAUUAUU